GUGGGGAAUAUUGGACAAUGGGCGAAAGCCUGAUCCAGCCAUGCCGCGUGUGUGAAGAAGGUCUUCGGAUUGUAAAGCACUUUAAGUUGGGAGGAAGGGCAGUAAGUUAAUACCUUGCUGUUUUGACGUUACCGACAGAAUAAGCACCGGCUAACUUCGUGCCAGCAGCCGCGGUAAUACGAAGGGUGCAAGCGUUACUCGGAAUUACUGGGCGUAAAGCGUGCGUAGGUGGUGGUCUACGUACGUUGUGAAAGCCCUGGGCUCAACCUGGGAAUUGCAGUGGAUACUGGAUCACUAGAGUGUGGUAGAGGGUAGUGGAAUUUCCUGUGUAGCGGUGAAAUGCGUAGAUAUAGGAAGGAACACCAGUGGCGAAGGCGACUACCUGGACUGAUACUGACACUGAGGUGCGAAAGCGUGGGGAGCAAACAGGAUUAGAUACCCUAGUAGUCC
Molecule: ribosomal RNA, 450 nt
Filed under: uncultured bacterium
Lineage: Bacteria
Description: partial 16S ribosomal RNA
Rfam family: Bacterial small subunit ribosomal RNA
Source: RNAcentral